AUACGUAGGUGACAAGCGUUAUCCGGAUUUACUGGGCGUAAAGGGCGUGUAGGCGGUCUUGCAAGUCAGAAGUGAAAUUCCUGAGCUCAACUCGGGCGCUGCUUCUGAAACUGCAGGACUUGAGUGCUGGAGGGGAUAGCGGAAUUCCUAGUGGAGCGGUAAAAUGCGCAGAUAUUAGGAAGAACACCGGUGGCGAAGGCGGCUAUCUGGACAGUAACUGACGCUGAGGCGCGAAAGCGUGGGGAGCAAACAGGAUUAGAUAACCUGGUAGUCCACGCCGUAAACGAUGAAUACUAGGUGUAGGGGGUAUCGACUCCCUCUGUGCCGCAGUUAACACAAUAAGUAUUCCGCCUGGGGAGUACGGCCGCAAGGUUGAAACUCAAAUGAAUUGACGGGG
RNAcentral lists this ribosomal RNA (397 nucleotides) under uncultured bacterium. Its description in RNAcentral is "partial 16S ribosomal RNA". It matches the Rfam family "Bacterial small subunit ribosomal RNA", at positions 523 to 918 of the family's 1533-position model. The record is from RNAcentral.